Molecule: ribosomal RNA, 468 nt
Filed under: uncultured bacterium
Lineage: Bacteria
Description: partial 16S ribosomal RNA
Rfam family: Bacterial small subunit ribosomal RNA
Source: RNAcentral
GACGAACGCUGGCGGCGUGCUUAACACAUGCAAGUCGAACGGAAAGGCCCUGCUUUUGUGGGGUGCUCGAGUGGCGAACGGGUGAGUAACACGUGAGUAACCUGCCCUUGACUUUGGGAUAACUUCAGGAAACUGGGGCUAAUACCGGAUAGGUGCUCCUGCUGCAUGGUGGGGGUUGGAAAGUUUCGGCGGUUGGGGAUGGACUCGCGGCUUAUCAGCUUGUUGGUGGGGUAGUGGCUUACCAAGGCUUUGACGGGUAGCCGGCCUGAGAGGGUGACCGGCCACAUUGGGACUGAGAUACGGCCCAGACUCCUACGGGAGGCAGCAGUGGGGAAUAUUGCACAAUGGGCGGAAGCCUGAUGCAGCAACGCCGCGUGCGGGAUGACGGCCUUCGGGUUGUAAACCGCUUUCGCCUGUGACGAAGCGUGAGUGGCGGUAAUGGGUAAAGAAGCACCGGCUAACUACGUG